RNAcentral lists this ribosomal RNA (480 nucleotides) under uncultured bacterium. RNAcentral's name for it is "bacterial SSU rRNA". It matches the Rfam family "Bacterial small subunit ribosomal RNA", at positions 28 to 507 of the family's 1533-position model. The record is from RNAcentral.
GACGAACGCUGGCGGCGUGCCUAACACAUGCAAGUCGAGCGGAGUCGAUCGACGGAAGCCUUCGGGCGGAAGAUGGUUGACUUAGCGGCGGAUGGGUGAGUAACGCGUGGGCAACCUGCCUCGAAGACCGGGAUAACAGCCCGAAAGGGCUGCUAAUACCGGAUGUGGUCAAGGAUCCGCAUGGAUUUUUGAUUAAAGGGGAAACCCGUUUCGAGAUGGGCCCGCGUCCUAUCAGCUAGUUGGUGAGGUAAAAGCUCACCAAGGCGACGACGGGUAGCCGGCCUGAGAGGGUGACCGGCCACACUGGAACUGAGACACGGUCCAGACUCCUACGGGGGCAGCAGUGGGGAAUCUUCCACAAUGGGCGAAAGCCUGAUGGAGCGACGCCGCGUGAGCGAAGAAGGCCUCGGGUGUAAAGCUCUGUCUGGAGGGACGAAGGAAGUGACGGUACCUCCGGAGGAAGCCACGGCUAACUACGUG